RNAcentral lists this ribosomal RNA (499 nucleotides) under Bombus hypnorum. Its description in RNAcentral is "partial 16S ribosomal RNA". The stretch from base 376 to 499 matches the Rfam family "Bacterial large subunit ribosomal RNA", at positions 2473 to 2597 of the family's 2925-position model. The record is from RNAcentral. Lineage: Eukaryota; Metazoa; Arthropoda; Insecta; Hymenoptera; Apidae.
GUCUUAAUGAAAUUAAUUUUAAGUCGAUCUGCCCAAUGAUUAAAUUAUUUAAUGGCUGCAGUAUAAUUGACUGUACAAAGGUAGCAUAAUCAAUUGUUUUUUAAUUAGAAACUAGAAUGAAAGAAUUAAUGAGAUAUAUACUGUCUCAUAUAUAUAUUGUUAAUUUAAAUUUUUAGUAAAAAUGCUAAAAUAAAUUUAUGGGACGAUAAGACCCUAUAGAAUUUUAUAUUUAUAUUUAGAUUAUUAUUUAUUUUAAAUAUUAAUAUUUAAUUGGGAGGAUUAUUAAAUUUGUAAAACUUUAUUUUAAAUUUAGACUUUAAUUUAAGAAUUAUUAAUGAUCUUGUAUUAUAAAUUUAAAGAAUAAAUUACCUUAGGGAUAACAGCGUAAUAUCUUUUUAAAGAUCAAAUUGAUAAAGAUGAUUGCGACCUCGAUGUUGAAUUAAGAUAAAUUUUAAAUGAAGGAGUUUAAUAAUUAAGUCUGUUCGACUUUUAAAAUCUU